GACGAACGCUGGCGGCGUGCCUAAUACAUGCAAGUAGAACGCUGAAGCUUGGUGCUUGCACCGAGCGGAUGAGUUGCGAACGGGUGAGUAACGCGUAGGUAACCUGCCUGGUAGCGGGGGAUAACUAUUGGAAACGAUAGCUAAUACCGCAUAAGAGUAGAUGUUGCAUGACAUUUGCUUAAAAGGUGCAAUUGCAUCACUACCAGAUGGACCUGCGUUGUAUUAGCUAGUUGGUGAGGUAACGGCUCACCAAGGCAACGAUACAUAGCCGACCUGAGAGGGUGAUCGGCCACACUGGGACUGAGACACGGCCCAGACUCCUACGGGAGGCAGCAGUAGGGAAUCUUCGGCAAUGGACGGAAGUCUGACCGAGCAACGCCGCGUGAGUGAAGAAGGUUUUCGGAUCGUAAAGCUCGGUUGUAAGAGAAGAACGAGUGUGAGAGUGGAAAGUUCACACUGUGACGGUAUCUUACCAGAAAGGGACGGCUAACUACGUG
This 497-nucleotide ribosomal RNA is filed under the name uncultured bacterium. Its description in RNAcentral is "partial 16S ribosomal RNA". It matches the Rfam family "Bacterial small subunit ribosomal RNA", at positions 28 to 507 of the family's 1533-position model. The record is from RNAcentral.